UACGGAAGGGGCAAGCGUUGUUCGGAAUCAUUGGGCGUAAAGGGCGCGUAGGUGGUCUUGUGUGUCUACCGUGAAAGCGUACGGCUCAACCGUAUUUAGUCGGUAGAAACUGCAGGACUUGAGGCUGGGAGGGGCUGGUGGAAUUCCCUGUGUAGCGGUGAAAUGCGUAGAUAUCCGGAGGAACACCGGUGGCGAAGGCGGCUUCCUGGACCGACACUGACGCUGAGGCGCGAAAGCUAGGGGAGCAAACAGG
Molecule: ribosomal RNA, 253 nt
Filed under: uncultured prokaryote
Description: partial 16S ribosomal RNA
Rfam family: Bacterial small subunit ribosomal RNA
Source: RNAcentral